RNAcentral lists this ribosomal RNA (175 nucleotides) under Amphibacillus marinus. RNAcentral's name for it is "Amphibacillus sp. J1 Bacterial large subunit ribosomal RNA". It matches the Rfam family "Bacterial large subunit ribosomal RNA", at positions 2749 to 2925 of the family's 2925-position model. The record is from Rfam by way of RNAcentral. Lineage: Bacteria; Bacillati; Bacillota; Bacilli; Caryophanales; Bacillaceae.
CUACGUAUGGACGGGAUAAGUGCUGAAAGCAUCUAAGCAUGAAGCCCCCCUCAAGAUGAGACUUCCCAUCUGUAAAGAGUAAGAUCCCUCAGAGACGAUGAGGUAGAUAGGUUCGAGGUGGAAGCAUGGCAACAUGUGUAGCUGACGAAUACUAAUCGAUCGAGGACUUAACUAA